This 73-nucleotide transfer RNA is filed under the name Bos taurus (domestic cattle). It matches the Rfam family "tRNA". From Rfam's summary of the family: Transfer RNA (tRNA) molecules are approximately 80 nucleotides in length. Their secondary structure includes four short double-helical elements and three loops (D, anti-codon, and T loops). Further hydrogen bonds mediate the characteristic L-shaped molecular structure. tRNAs have two regions of fundamental functional importance: the anti-codon, which is responsible for specific mRNA codon recognition, and the 3' end, to which the tRNAs corresponding amino acid is attached (by aminoacyl-tRNA synthetases). tRNAs cope with the degeneracy of the genetic code in two manners: having more than one tRNA (with a specific anti-codon) for a particular amino acid; and 'wobble' base-pairing, i.e. permitting non-standard base-pairing at the 3rd anti-codon position. RNAcentral also lists the same sequence under 1 other name. Lineage: Eukaryota; Metazoa; Chordata; Mammalia; Artiodactyla; Bovidae. The record is from Rfam by way of RNAcentral.
UCCUUGGUGGUCCAGUGGUUAAGACUCUGCACUUCUAAUGCAGGGGCUGUGGGUUCAAUCCCUGGGCCGGGAA